CCUCCAUCUAAGACGUGACUUGCUCUUCCUUGCCUUCCGCCAUGAUUGUGAGGCCUCCCCAGGCAAGUGAACUAUAAUCAUGAGUCAUCAUCCUGUAUAAAUGAAUAAUAGUUUAAUUUAAAUAAGCCAAUGUUGUUUGGAGGUCGUUUAUCACUUCACAGCUCUCAUUCACAGUCAAGUCAUGUGGAACUACACAACUUCCUUUUUGUGCAUUGGAGCUGGAAAUCUCGUUGAGUUUGGGAGGCCUUACUUCUGCAUAUUUGAAUCUGGUGACCAAAUUAAACAUUGUUCUAAAAAUCUGAAGACCCGACCUUACUAUUGGCAAAGACAGACAAACACUCUACAAAUAGUGCUUGAAAAAUGCCACUGUUUGGUUCAGAUGGUGAAGAGGAACUCAGGAAGGCCUGGCAGUCUCUAGGAGGCUAGGGCAGUGGUUCUCAAAUGAUAGGGUGUACAGAAAUUCCCUGGAGGACUUGUGACAACAAAGAUUGCUAGGCCUACUCCCAGGGUUUCUAAUUCAGCAGGUCUGGGGAUGGAGCUCAAGUAUCUGCAUUUCUAACAAGUCCCCGGUGGUGCUGAUGCUGCUUGCAUGGACCAGUUUUGAGAACCAUACUUGGAGAAACACUUGGUUAGGAAAACUAUGUCUGUUACAGAUUGAUCAAAGGGCUCUUAAGUUCCUUUUGUACAAUAAAUCACUGCGAUAUCAAAUGAGGUAAAUGAACAUGCUCUUUGAACUCUUAACUUCUAGACCAAUAUAAAACAUUCUAAAUAUGAAAUGGAAACAUUUACAAUUGUUAUUGAUUCUCAUCAAUGCAAUGUUCAAUAAAGAUAAGAAUCACGUUUUCAGUCUCCACUCUUGAUUUUCUGCUUUGAUAUGGAUUUUUAGUUUUGCUUUCUUCUGAUAUGCUGGG
RNAcentral lists this long non-coding RNA (911 nucleotides) under Homo sapiens (human). Its description in RNAcentral is "HSALNT0033267". Lineage: Eukaryota; Metazoa; Chordata; Mammalia; Primates; Hominidae. The record is from RNAcentral.